ACUACAUGAAGUUGGAAUCGCUAGUAAUCGCGGAUCAGCAUGUCGCGGUGAAUACGUUCCCGGGUCUUGUACACACCGCCCGUCACACCAUGGGAGCGGGUUUUACCAGAAGUAGGUAGCUUAACCGUAAGGGGGGCGCUUACCACGGUAGGAUUCGUGACUGGGGUGAAGUCGUAACAAGGUAGCCGUAUCGGAAGGUGCGGCUGGAUCACCUCCUUUCUAG
RNAcentral lists this ribosomal RNA (223 nucleotides) under Massilia sp. CCM 8734. Its description in RNAcentral is "partial 16S ribosomal RNA". It matches the Rfam family "Bacterial small subunit ribosomal RNA", at positions 1315 to 1533 of the family's 1533-position model. Lineage: Bacteria; Pseudomonadati; Pseudomonadota; Betaproteobacteria; Burkholderiales; Oxalobacteraceae. The record is from RNAcentral.